Molecule: ribosomal RNA, 510 nt
Filed under: uncultured bacterium
Lineage: Bacteria
Description: partial 16S ribosomal RNA
Rfam family: Bacterial small subunit ribosomal RNA
Source: RNAcentral
GACGAACGCUGGCGGCGUGCUUAACACAUGCAAGUCGAACGAAGAGCGAUGGAAGCUUGCUUCUAUCAAUCUUAGUGGCGAACGGGUGAGUAACGCGUAAUCAACCUGCCCUUCAGAGGGGGACAACAGUUGGAAACGACUGCUAAUACCGCAUACGAUCUAAUCUCGGCAUCGAGGAUAGAUAAAAGGUGGCCUCUACAUGUAAGCUAUCACUGAAGGAGGGGAUUGCGUCUGAUUAGCUAGUUGGAGGGGUAACGGCCCACCAAGGCGAUGAUCAGUAGCCGGUCUGAGAGGAUGAACGGCCACAUUGGGACUGAGACACGGCCCAGACUCCUACGGGAGGCAGCAGUGGGGAAUCUUCCGCAAUGGACGAAAGUCUGACGGAGCAACGCCGCGUGAGUGAUGACGGCCUUCGGGUUGUAAAGCUCUGUUAAUCGGGACGAAAGGCCUUCUUGCGAAUAGUGAGAAGGAUUGACGGUACCGGAAGAGAAAGCCACGGCUAACUACGUG